Molecule: transfer-messenger RNA, 363 nt
Filed under: Desulforhopalus sp.
Lineage: Bacteria; Pseudomonadati; Thermodesulfobacteriota; Desulfobulbia; Desulfobulbales; Desulfocapsaceae
Rfam family: transfer-messenger RNA
About the family: Bacterial tmRNA, also known as 10Sa RNA or SsrA, is named for its dual tRNA and mRNA-like properties.
Source: RNAcentral
GGGGGCGAAACGGAUUCGACGGGGAUGUGUAAGCUUACUGUUGCAUGCCGAGCUUCUAUCUGCUCGUAAAACGGUAGAACCUAAAUAUAAUCGCAGACGAUUAUAACUACGCAGUAGCAGCUUAACCUGUCAUACUGCCGUUCCACCGGUUCUCGCCCAUAGAACUGGAUUCGGGGCGUCGACUCAAUGGGCUGGUCGCUUGAAGGCCGUCUGUCUUUCAAGGGACGAGAUUUAACAGGCUGGCUGCGGGAAAUCCAUGUUCCGACGGAGUUCCCAAAGUGAGAACCAAAGCACGGAACUAAGCAUGUAGAUACGGGAGGGGAGCAUUUUCGGACGCGGGUUCGACUCCCGCCGCCUCCACCA